This 2177-nucleotide ribosomal RNA is filed under the name metagenome. RNAcentral describes it as "bacterial LSU rRNA". It matches the Rfam family "Bacterial large subunit ribosomal RNA", at positions 726 to 2925 of the family's 2925-position model. The record is from RNAcentral.
UGACCUACCCAUGUCCAGGCUGAAGUGGAGGUAAAACUCCAUGGAGGGCCGAACCGACCUCCGUUGAAAAGGCGGCGGAUGAGAUGUGGCUAGCGGAGAAAUUCCAAUCGAACCCGGAGAUAGCUGGUUCUCCCCGAAAUAGCUUUAGGGCUAGCGUCGAGGUAGAGAGUUGCGUGAAGGUAGAGCACUGAAUAUGUGAUGGCCCCAUCUCGGGGUACUGAGCAUAAUCAAACUGCGAAUGUCACGGAAACAUACUCGGCAGUCAGACAGCGGGUGAUAAGGUCCGUUGUCAAGAGGGAAACAGCCCAGACCAUCAGCUAAGGUCCCAAAAUGUAUGCUAAGUGGAAAAGGAUGUGGAGAUGUACAGACAACUAGGAGGUUGGCUCAGAAGCAGCCAUCCUUUAAAGAGUGCGUAACAGCUCACUAGUCGAAUGACUCUGCGCCGAUAAUUUACCGGGGCUAAGCAUACUACCGAAGCUAUGGAUCCCAAGGGAUGGUAGGGGAGCGUUCCAUGAACGGAGAAGCGUGAUCGAGAGGACGCGUGGAGAUCAUGGAAGAGAGAAUGCCGGUGUGAGUAGCGGAACGUGGGUGAGAAUCCCACGCACCGAAAACCCAAGGUUUCCAGAGGAAGGUUCGUCCGCUCUGGGUAAGUCGGGACCUAAGGCGAGGCCGAAAGGCGUAGUCGAUGGACAACAGGUAGAGAUUCCUGUACCCGUAUAUAUGUGAAGGAAUGACGGAGAGAGGAAGCUGCAGCCAGCGGCUGGAAGAGCUGGUGCAAGCGAGAUAUCGGGAUGGCAGGCAAAUCCACCAUCCGAAACGAGAAGGCGUGAAGCGUACGGAAAGCUAAGGCGAGUACGGAAGGCAGUGGAGGAACUUCCAAGAAAAGUUUCUAACGUUAAGUAUAUAUGGCCCGUACCGAAAAUGGACACACAUGGGUGAGGAGAGAAUCCUAAGGUGAGCGAGAGAACUAUAGCUAAGGAACUCUGCAAAAUGACUCCGUAACUUAGGGAGAAGGAGUGCUCAUAGAGAUAUGAGCCGCAGUGAAACGGCCCAAGCGACUGUUUAGCAAAAACACAGCUCUCUGCUAAAUCGAAAGAUGACGUAUAGGGGGUGACACCUGCCCGGUGCUGGAAGGUUAAGAGGAAGGGUGCAAGCUCUGAAUUGAAGCCCCAGUAAACGGCGGCCGUAACUAUAACGGUCCUAAGGUAGCGAAAUUCCUUGUCGGGUAAGUUCCGACCCGCACGAAUGGUGUAACGAUCUGGGCACUGUCUCAACUACCCACCCGGCGAAAUUGUAGUACCGGUGAAGAUGCCGGUUACCUGCGGCAAGACGGAAAGACCCCAUGGAGCUUUACUGUAGCCUGAUAUUGGGUUUCGGAAAUCUAUGUACAGGAUAGGCGGGAGACUAGGAAACAUGAGCGUCAGCUUGUGUGGAGUCGAUGUUGGGAUACCGCCCUUAGGUUUCUGGAAUUCUAACCUGCGGCCGUGAAUCCGGUCGGGGGACAUUGUCAGGUGGGCAGUUUGACUGGGGCGGUCGCCUCCGAAAAGGUAACGGAGGCGCUCAAAGGUUAGCUCAGCACGGACGGAAACCGUGCCUCUGAGUGUAAACGCAAAAGCUAGCCUAACUGCGAGGGUGACGGCCCGAGCAGUAACGAAAGUUGGAGUUAGUGAUCCGGCGGUAUGUGAAUGGAAAUGCCGUCGCUCAACGGAUAAAAGCUACCCUGGGGAUAACAGGCUGAUCUCCCCCAAGAGUCCACAUCGACGGGGAGGUUUGGCACCUCGAUGUCGGCUCAUCGCAUCCUGGGGCUGUAUUCGGUCCCAAGGGUUUGGCUGUUCGCCAAUUAAAGCGGUACGCGAGCUGGGUUCAGAACGUCGUGAGACAGUUCGGUCCCUAUCUGUCGUGGGCGUAGGAUAUUUGAAGAGCGCUGUCCCUAGUACGAGAGGACCGGGAUGGACGCACCGCUGGCGCAUCGGUUGUCAUGCCAAUGGCACGGCCGAGCAACUAUGUGCGGUUUGGAUAAACGCUGAAAGCAUCUAAGCGUGAAGCCAUCUCUAAGAUAAGAUAUCCCAUAGCAUAAGCUAGUAAGACCCCUCAAAGACUAUGAGGUUGAUAGGCUGCGUGUGUAAGUACGGCGACGUAUUUAGCUUGGCAGUACUAAUAGGUCGAGGGCUUGACCU